This 253-nucleotide ribosomal RNA is filed under the name uncultured bacterium. RNAcentral describes it as "partial 16S ribosomal RNA". It matches the Rfam family "Bacterial small subunit ribosomal RNA", at positions 524 to 776 of the family's 1533-position model. The record is from RNAcentral.
UACGUAGGGUGCAAGCGUUGUCCGGAAUUAUUGGGCGUAAAGAGCUCGUAGGCGGUCUGUCGCGUCGGCUGUGAAAACCCGAGGCUCAACCUCGGGCCUGCAGUCGAUACGGGCAAACUAGAGUACUGCAGGGGAGACUGGAAUUCCUGGUGUAGCGGUGAAAUGCGCAGAUAUCAGGAGGAACACCGGUGGCGAAGGCGGGUCCCUGGGCAGUAACUGACGCUGAGGAGCGAAAGCGUGGGGAGCGAACAGG